RNAcentral lists this ribosomal RNA (426 nucleotides) under uncultured bacterium. RNAcentral describes it as "bacterial SSU rRNA". It matches the Rfam family "Bacterial small subunit ribosomal RNA", at positions 355 to 773 of the family's 1533-position model. The record is from RNAcentral.
UGGGGAAUUUUGGACAAUGGGGGCAACCCUGAUCCAGCAAUGCCGCGUGAGUGAAGAAGGCCUUCGGGUUGUAAAGCUCUUCUGUCCGGGAAGAAAUCCCAUUGCCUAAUACGUGGUGGGGAUGACGGUACUGGAAGAAUAAGCACCGUCUAACUACGUGCCAGCAGCCGCGGUAAUACGUAGGGUGCAAGCGUUAAUCGGAAUUACUGGGCGUAAAGCGUGCGCAGGCGGUUGUGCAAGACCGAUGUGAAAGCCCCGGGCUUAACCUGGGAACGGCAUUGGUGACUGCACGGCUAGAGUGUGUCAGAGGGGGGUAGAAUUCCACGUGUAGCAGUGAAAUGCGUAGAGAUGUGGAGGAAUACCGAUGGCGAAGGCAGCCCCCUGGGAUGACACUGACGCUCAUGCACGAAAGCGUGGGGAGCAAAC